UUAAUCUAAUACGCAAUGCACACCGUGCGUCACAAACCAGGAAGGCUACCGCUUCCUGGGCCUUCCUCCAUCAGGGUACUCAUAAAGAGGCUAAAGGCCAAAGUCAAGGGGAUAUUGCAGAUAUGCUAAACACAAUCAGAUACUUUUUUUUUCUUUUUUUGACAUGGGGUCUCUCUAUUCUGCCCAGGCUGUAGUGCAGUGGCGAAAUCUCGGCUCACUGCAACCUCCGCCUCCCAGGUUCAAGUGAUUCUCCUGCCUCAGCCUCCCGAGUAGCUAGGACUACAGGCGUGUGCCACCACACGCCACUAAUUUUUGAAGAUUCAGAACAAAAAUCUACAUUUUUACGUAAGAUAGCAUAGGCAAAAUGGGGCAGGGGAACAAUGAGAUAUUCAUUUGUGUUUGGUGGGCAGCAGGGUGACUGCAUCUGUAAAGAUAAUCUAUCCAUUUACAUUGCCAUGGUGAAAUUUUAACAGAAAUACCUUAAAAGAUCUUGCAGCUCACUAGGAAUUUCUUUGUGGGCAAA
RNAcentral lists this long non-coding RNA (523 nucleotides) under Homo sapiens (human). RNAcentral describes it as "non-protein coding lnc-RDX-5:1". Lineage: Eukaryota; Metazoa; Chordata; Mammalia; Primates; Hominidae. The record is from RNAcentral.